This 200-nucleotide unclassified non-coding RNA is filed under the name Lasiosphaeriaceae sp. RNAcentral describes it as "partial internal transcribed spacer 2". Lineage: Eukaryota; Fungi; Ascomycota; Sordariomycetes; Sordariales; Lasiosphaeriaceae. The record is from RNAcentral.
UUAAGUUCAGCGGGUAUUCCUACCUGAUCCGAGGUCAACCUUAAAAAAUGGGGGGUUUUACGGCAAGAACCCACUACAUGUCCUGAGCGAAGAGUAAACUACUGCACUCGGUAUAUAGCGAGCCCGCCACUGUUUCAGGGCCUGCGGCAGCCGCAGGUCCCCAACACAAGCCGGGGGCUUGAUGGUUGAAAUGACGCUCG